RNAcentral lists this ribosomal RNA (542 nucleotides) under Acinetobacter baumannii. RNAcentral describes it as "partial 23S ribosomal RNA". It matches the Rfam family "Bacterial large subunit ribosomal RNA", at positions 643 to 1186 of the family's 2925-position model. Lineage: Bacteria; Pseudomonadati; Pseudomonadota; Gammaproteobacteria; Moraxellales; Moraxellaceae. The record is from RNAcentral.
AGGUUAACCGUAUAGGGGAGCCGUAGAGAAAUCGAGUCUUAAUAGGGCGUUUAGUUGCUGGGUAUAGACCCGAAACCAGGCGAUCUAUCCAUGAGCAGGUUGAAGGUUGGGUAACACUAACUGGAGGACCGAACCCACUGUCGUUGAAAAGCCAGGGGAUGACUUGUGGAUAGGGGUGAAAGGCUAAUCAAGCCUGGUGAUAGCUGGUUCUCCCCGAAAGCUAUUUAGGUAGCGCCUCGGACGAAUACCAUAGGGGGUAGAGCACUGUUUCGGCUAGGGGGUCAUCCCGACUUACCAAACCGAUGCAAACUCCGAAUACCUAUGAGUACUAUCCGGGAGACAGACUGCGGGUGCUAACGUCCGUAGUCAAGAGGAAAACAAUCCAGACCGCCAGCUAAGGCCCCAAAAUCAUAGUUAAGUGGGAAACGAUGUGGGAAGGCAUAGACAGCUAGGAGGUUGGCUUAGAAGCAGCCACCCUUUAAAGAAAGCGUAAUAGCUCACUAGUCGAGUCGGCCUGCGCGGAAGAUGUAACGGGGCUAAAA